Molecule: ribosomal RNA, 844 nt
Filed under: uncultured bacterium
Lineage: Bacteria
Description: bacterial SSU rRNA
Rfam family: Bacterial small subunit ribosomal RNA
Source: RNAcentral
GAAUCCAUGGUGUAGCAAUACACCGGAAGAUUUAGUGGCGAACGGGUGAGGAUCACGUGAGAAACGUGCCCCAGACUCUGGGAUAACAAUUGGAAACGAUUGCUAAUACCGGAUGACGUCGGAGAAUCGCAUGAUUCACUGACGAAAGAUAUUUCGGUUUGGGAGCGUCUCGCGGCCUAUCAGCUUGUUGGUGGGGUAAUGGCCUACCAAGGCAACGACGGGUAGCUGGUCUGAGAGGAUGAUCAGCCACACUGGGACUGAGACACGGCCCAGACUCCUACGGGAGGCAGCAGUGGGGAAUCUUGCGCAAUGGGCGAAAGCCUGACGCAGCAACGCCGCGUGCGGGAUGAAGGCCUUCGGGCUGUAAACCGCUUUCAGCAGGAACGAAAAUGACGGUACCUGCAGAAGAAGGAGCGGCCAACUACGUGCCAGCAGCCGCGGUGACACGUAGGCUCCAAGCGUUGUCCGGAUUUAUUGGGCGUAAAGAGCUCGUAGGCGGUUGAGUAAGUCGGGUGUGAAAACUCUGGGCUUAACCCGGAGACGCCAUCCGAUACUGCUCUGACUAGAGUUCAGGAGGGGAGUGGGGAAUUCCUAGUGUAGCGGUGAAAUGCGCAGAUAUUAGGAGGAACACCGGUGGCGAAGGCGCCACUCUGGACUGAAACUGACGCUGAGGAGCGAAAGCAUGGGUAGCAACAGGAUUAGAUACCCUGGUAGUCCAUGCCGUAACGGUGGGCACUAGGUGUGGGUUCCAACUAACGGGAUCCGCGCCGUCGCUAACGCAUUAAGUGCCCCGCCUGGGGAGUACGGUCGCAAGACUAAAACUCAAGGGAAUUGAUCGGGGGCC